Molecule: long non-coding RNA, 1125 nt
Organism: Oncorhynchus mykiss (rainbow trout)
Lineage: Eukaryota; Metazoa; Chordata; Actinopteri; Salmoniformes; Salmonidae
Source: RefSeq, a predicted model, not a curated record
CGUCGCCGUUCCUCUCUCACUGCCUCCAUCUGCUUCCUUGGGACGGCGAUCCUUGGACGGGGUAUGCAGCCAAAGACAAGAGGACACUCCAGGCUCAUCACAUAACCCACGUCCUGAACGCAGCGGACGUCAAAUUCAUCAAGACCGCCCUGAGCUCGCCCAACGAUAAGCAAUCAAUCAAAGGCCUGGCAGGUGUUGGUCCACUGCGCUGGGUCUGAGUCGCCCCUCCAGUCUGGUCCUGGCCUACCUGAUGAUCGAUGAGGAACUGACCUCUGGUGGAGAGGAUACCAUCAUGGCCGCAAACAGGAACACCUGUGCCGAUGCUGGAUUCCCUGGAGCAGCGUUGAGACCUGGACAGACAUCUCCAAUACCAGAUGACAAUGAGGACAUCUAUAGGCACUUUUGGACAUACUAUAGUUUGGUAAUCUAGUAGGAGACAACUGUACUGUAUACUCAUACUGUAAUCUGGUAGGAGACAACUGUAUACUCAUACUGUAGUCUGGUAGUCUAGUAGGAGACAACUGUACUGUAUACUCAUACUGUAGACUGGUAAUCUAGUAGGAGACAACUGUACUGUAUACUCAUACUGUAGUCUUGUAGGAGACAACUGUACUGUAUACUCAUACUGUAGUCUGGUAAUCUAGUAGGAGACAACUGUACUGUAUACUCAUACUGUAGUCUUGUAGGAGACAACUGUACUGUAUACUCAUACUGUAAUCUGGUAGGAGACAACUGUAUACUCAUACUGUAGUCUGGUAGUCUAGUAGGAGACAACUGUACUGUAUACUCAUACUAUAGUCUGGUAAUCUAGUAGGAGACAACUGUACUGUAUACUCAUACUGUAGUCUUGUAGGAGACAACUGUACUGUAUACUCAUACUGUAAUCUGGUAGGAGACAACUGUAUACUCAUACUGUAGUCUGGUAGUCUAGUAGGAGACAACUGUACUGUAUACUCAUACUGUAGACUGGUAAUCUAGUAGGAGAGAACUGUACUGUAUACUCAUACUGUAGUCUGGUAGUCUGGUAAUCUAGUAGGAGACAACUGUACUGUAUACUCAUACUGUAGAUGGUUGAGCUGUUUUAUUCUUCAGUGUAAAGACAAUUUUCAGAAAUAAAUUAACACA